This 82-nucleotide transfer RNA is filed under the name Synechococcus sp. RNAcentral's name for it is "tRNA-Leu". It matches the Rfam family "tRNA". From Rfam's summary of the family: Transfer RNA (tRNA) molecules are approximately 80 nucleotides in length. Their secondary structure includes four short double-helical elements and three loops (D, anti-codon, and T loops). RNAcentral also lists the same sequence under 1 other name. Lineage: Bacteria; Bacillati; Cyanobacteriota; Cyanophyceae; Synechococcales; Synechococcaceae. The record is from RNAcentral.
GCAGGCGUGGCGGAAUUGGUAGACGCAGCGCACUCAAAAUGCGCCGACUUCGGUCUUGCGAGUUCAAGUCUCGCCGCCUGUA